UACGUAGGGUGCAAGCGUUGUCCGGAAUUAUUGGGCGUAAAGGGCUCGUAGGCGGUCCAUCGCGUCGGGUGUGAAAAGCUGGGGCUCAACCCCAGUCCUGCUUCCGAUACGGGUGGACUAGAGGUAGGCAGGGGAGAACGGAAUUCCUGGUGUAGCGGUGAAAUGCGCAGAUAUCAGGAGGAACACCGGUGGCGAAGGCGGUUCUCUGGGCCUUACCUGACGCUGAGGAGCGAAAGCGUGGGGAGCAAACAGG
Molecule: ribosomal RNA, 253 nt
Filed under: uncultured bacterium
Lineage: Bacteria
Description: partial 16S ribosomal RNA
Rfam family: Bacterial small subunit ribosomal RNA
Source: RNAcentral